ACGAACGCUGGCGGCGUGCUUAACCCCUGCCAGUCGCACGGAAAGGCCCUGCUUUUGUGGGGUGCUCGAGUGGCGAACGGGUGAGUAACACGUGAGUAACCUGCCCUUGACUUUGGGAUAACUUCAGGAAACUGGGGCUAAUACCGGAUAGGAGCUCCUGCUGCAUGGUGGGGGGUGGAAAGUUUCGGCGGUUGGGGAUGGACUCGCGGCUUAUCAGCUUGUUGGUGGGGUAGUGGCUUACCAAGGCUUUGACGGGUAGCCGGCCUGAGAGGGUGACCGGCCACAUUGGGACUGAGAUACGGCCCAGACUCCUACGGGAGGCAGCAGUGGGGAAUAUUGCACAAUGGGCGGAAGCCUGAUGCAGCAACGCCGCGUGCGGGAUGACGGCCUUCGGGUUGUAAACCGCUUUCGCCUGUGACGAAGCGUGAGUGACGGUAAUGGGUAAAGAAGCACCGGCUAACUACGUG
Molecule: ribosomal RNA, 467 nt
Filed under: uncultured bacterium
Lineage: Bacteria
Description: partial 16S ribosomal RNA
Rfam family: Bacterial small subunit ribosomal RNA
Source: RNAcentral